Molecule: small nuclear RNA, 106 nt
Filed under: Peromyscus maniculatus bairdii (prairie deer mouse)
Lineage: Eukaryota; Metazoa; Chordata; Mammalia; Rodentia; Cricetidae
Source: RNAcentral
GUGCUCACCUCCACAGCACAUAUACUAAAUUGGAAGGAUACAGAGAAGAUUAGCAUGGACCCUGUGAAAGGAUGCCAUGCAAAUUCACGAAGUAUUCUAUACUAUU